This 816-nucleotide ribosomal RNA is filed under the name uncultured marine archaeon. RNAcentral describes it as "bacterial SSU rRNA". It matches the Rfam family "Archaeal small subunit ribosomal RNA", at positions 52 to 874 of the family's 1478-position model. The record is from RNAcentral.
UGCGAGUCUGAGCAUUAGCUCGGCGUACCGCUCAGUAACACGUGGGUAACCUGCCCUACCGUUUUGAAUAACCUCGGGAAACUGAGAACAAUACAUCAUAGUCCACUACGCCUGGAACGGUGAGUGGAUGAAGGUAGGAUGGGCCUGCGGCGUAUCAGGUUGUAGGGGGUGUAAUGGACCUCCUAGCCAUCGACGCGUACGGGUGUUGGGAGACAUAGCCCGGAGAUGGAUUCUGAGACACGAAUCCAGGCCCUACGGGGCGCAGCAGUUACGAAAACUUGGCAAUGCGGGAAACCGUGACCAGGGAACUCCAAGUGAGUCUCUUUUAGGGGCUCUUUUCUUGACUCUAAAACGGUCUUGGAAUAAGGGGUGGGUAAGGACGGUGCCAGCCGCCGCGGUAAUACCGGCGCCUCAAGUGGUCGUCGCUUUUAAUGGGCCUAAAACGUCCGUAGCCGGUUUGGUACCUUCCGUGGGGAAAUUCCGCUUCGCUCCACGAAUUGAAUUUCUGCGAAGGACCGGCCAGAAUUAAGGACCGGGAAAAGUGGGGGGAACUCUCCAGGGAAGGGGUAAAAUCCCUGUCCUCCUUGAGAGGAACCACCUUGUUGCCGAAGGGCGCCACACUAGAACGGAUCCCGACGGGUCAGGGACGAAGCCUAGGGGCACGAACCGGAUUAGAUACCCGGGUAGUCCUAGGUGUAAACGCUGUGGACUUGGUGUUGGGGAAGCCCAGAGCUUUCCCAGUGCCGUAACGAAGUGUUGAGUCCACUGCCUGGGGAGUACGGUCGCAAGGCUGAAACUUAAAGGAAUUGGCGGGGG